This 283-nucleotide ribosomal RNA is filed under the name uncultured bacterium. Its description in RNAcentral is "partial 16S ribosomal RNA". It matches the Rfam family "Bacterial small subunit ribosomal RNA", at positions 123 to 406 of the family's 1533-position model. The record is from RNAcentral.
AACGUGCCCAAUCGUGGGGGAUAACGCAGCGAAAGCUGUGCUAAUACCGCAUAAGAUCUACGGAUGAAAGCAGGGGACCCGCAAGGGCCUUGCGCGAAUGGAGCGGCCGAUGGCAGAUUAGGUAGUUGGUGAGGUAAAGGCUCACCAAGCCUUCGAUCUGUAGCUGGUCUGAGAGGACGACCAGCCACACUGGGACUGAGACACGGCCCAGACUCCUACGGGAGGCAGCAGUGGGGAAUUUUGGACAAUGGGCGAAAGCCUGAUCCAGCCAUGCCGCGUGCAG